Molecule: long non-coding RNA, 602 nt
Organism: Bactrocera neohumeralis
Lineage: Eukaryota; Metazoa; Arthropoda; Insecta; Diptera; Tephritidae
Exons: 3
Source: RefSeq, a predicted model, not a curated record
UUUAAGGAUAGCAUGCUAUAAGCCAACUCCUUUACUUGCCAAGUCCGCCGCAACCUUAACGGAACGACAGGUCUUUGCAAUUUCACAAGCGCCAAAGUUUCGAGAAUUGUCGGUUACUAUAUCAAAAUGGAUCAUUUUAUACGCAUGCGAAGCUUUAAAUUGCCAAAGCUUAGAUGAAAAUACAAUUAUCUGGUAUCUGGAGCAAGGAGGUACAUAACAGAUACAGCACCAUAUUCCUAAAUAACUGGAAGCCUUAUUUAUCUGCUGCUGGAAAACAUGGAAACUAUGAAGCACUGCAGCAGAAGACCACCGUCGGUUGCGGUAUAAUAAAUUAAUCGAAUUUUGGUUCACCCUGUCAAAUGUAUAAAUAGGAGUGCAUUUGCGUACUGUGUGAUGUCAGUAGACGAGCCGAUAAGUAGGAGUCGCUGCCAACUAUUCAUUUCUAAUGCUUCAAGUUAUUUAAAAAGUAUUGCGAAAAUGAGUCAAAUUAGUUCUUUAAAAUUUAUUGUAUACAUUUCAUUUUUUCAUUAUUUAAUUUAUUUUUGCUCAAAUCUAACCUCAAAUAUUAAUAAAAUAUGGUAUUAGAAGCAAACCAACGACAA